GGAAAAUAAAAUUGCAUCCUCCCCUCCCCACUCUCUCUUUCUCAAAGCAGAAUGAUAAUUACUCUGUAUAAGCCAGAGAAAAACUGGCAUAAAAGGCCAAAUCUGUGCUUCUGACUGUUAAAUCUCAACCCUUCCUUCCUUAUCACACCCAUCUCUCCCUCUAUAUCUCUUCCUUCUAAUCUUGCCCUUCUUCCCUCUUCAUUGUUAUAUUGCCUCUAGCUUCUCCAUUAUCCAAACUCUCUGAAGCUCACACAACUCUUAGAAACCUAGCUAGCUAGAGAGUCCUUCACCUUCAUUCAUAUCCUUCUCCAUAAUAAGCUAUGGUUUUCUAUAUGGUUGGUGCAGCUCAGUAGCUCGACACCUCAUAUCUACCUAUUUAUUGCUCUCUGCUUCUUAUAUCUUUCAACUCAUUCAGACAGUGCAAUAAAGACUUGCUCUUUUCUAUCUUGCAGUAGUUUCCAGACACUUAGUUUCAGAUAGCUAUUUGGGAGUGUAAUUAAGCAUCUUCAAGCUUAAGCUCAUUUCAUACAAGAAAGCUGAAAAUGGCACCCAGAAACAGUCGUGGAAAGGGCAAAGGUGGAGAGAAGAAGAAGAAGGAAGAGAAGGUUCUUCCUGUUGUGAUGGACAUCACCGUGAACCUUCCGGAUGAAAGUAGUGUUGUUUUGAAGGGAAUAUCGACGGACAAGAUCAUUGACGUCCGCCAACUAUUAUCAGUGAAUACCGAAACUUGUAACAUCACCAAUUUUUCACUAUCCCAUGAGGUAAGAGGGAAACGUUUAAAAGAUACGGUGGACGUCUCCGCACUCAAGCCCUGCGUCAUCACUUUGGUCGAAGAGGACUAUGAUGAAGAGCGCGCCACCGCGCACGUGCGCCGCGUGCUGGACAUCGUCGCCUGCACGACGAGCUUCGGCGCGUCACCUCCGCCGGCGAAGGAUCAAAGCCUCAAGCCCGACGCCUCUCCCGCAGUCGUCUCCGGUAAAAAUGCUCCGGAUAAGGCCGCCAAGAAAUCCGCCGCCGCGGUCAAGCCUCAAGUCUCUGCCGGAGCCGAUAAGCGUGACGUGGCGGUGGACUCGGACGCCGAGCUGAGCCACUCUUGCCUCAAGCUCGGCUCUUUCUACGACUUCUUCUCUCUCGCUCAUCUCACUCCCCCCUCUGCAAUUUAUCAGAAGGGUGACGAAACGACAUGUCGAUGAGAUUUCGGCAGAAGAUCACCUGUAUUCUCUUGAAGUGAAGCUUUGCAAUGGGAAGGUGGUUCUGGUUGAAGCUUGCAGGAAGGGAUUCUAUAGUGUAGGGAAGCAGCGCAUUCUGUGUCACAACCUCGUCGAUUUGCUACGGCAGCUGAGUAGAGCUUUCGACAAUGCUUAUGAUGAUCUGAUGAAAGCAUUUUCGGAACGUAAUAAGUUUGGGAAUCUUCCCUAUGGCUUUCGAGCAAACACAUGGCUUGUACCGCCAGUUGCAGGUCAGUCACCUUCAGGUUUCCCUGCUCUCCCUGUGGAGGAUGAAGCUUGGGGAGGAAAUGGAGGGGGUCUAGGAAGAGACGGGAAAUUUGAUCUGAUUCCUUGGGCUAAUGAGUUUUGGUAUAUUGCAUCAAUGCCUUGCAAGACGGCGGAGGACAGGCAGGUUCGAGAUAGGAAGGCAUUCCUUCUUCACAGCCUAUUUGUCGACGUUUCCAUUUUUAGAGCCAUUAAAGCUGUGCAGCAUGUGAUGGCAAAACCGGAUUUGACUUGUUCUGCUGCAAGCAGUGAUGUUCUUUAUACUGAGAGAGUAGGGGACCUGAAUGUGACUGUAACAAAGGAUGUUAACAAUGCAAGCUGUAAGGUUGAUACUAAGAUUGAUGGAAUUCAGGCGACUGGAGUGGAUAAAAAGAAUCUAGCGCAGCGAAACCUUCUGAAAGGGAUCACUGCUGACGAGAACACCGCUGCACAUGAUGUCACCACUCUAGGUGUUGUGAAUGUCCGAUACUGUGGUUACAUUGCAGUUGUGAAAGUUGAGGGGAAAGAAACCAAGAAAAUCAGUUCUCCAUCACAAACCAUUGACCUCCUUGAUCAACCUGAAGGUGGUGCCAAUGCCCUUAAUAUCAACAGUUUGAGAUUGCUACUUCACACAACUACACCUUCGGAGCAGAAUAAACUCGCAUUACAUGGGCAAGGUCUGGAACAUGAAGAGCUUUCUGCUUCCUGCGCUUUUGUUGAGAAACUGUUAGAAGAAAGUCUUGCUAAGCUUGACAAAGAGGAGCUAGAUUCUGAUAGUUUUGUGAGAUGGGAACUAGGAGCUUGCUGGAUACAACACUUGCAAGACCAGAAAAAUACAGACAAGGAUAAGAAACCAUCAGGUGAGAAGGCUAAGAAUGAGAUGAAGGUCGAGGGACUUGGGACACCUCUUAGAUCCCUUAAGAACACAAAGAAGAAAUCAGAGGGAGCCAAUACCAAAGGCCAGUCUGAUAGCUCAAAGUCGCAUGCAGAUGGUGUUGUGGGGGAAGUAGAAAAUGCUAUAGGUUCUGUGGACUCAAAGUAUGAAACCAGUGCUAAGGAAAAUGAGCUUGUGCUGACAGAGAUGCUGUCUGAUGCAGCCUUUGCUCGACUAAAAGAAUCAGAAACUGGACUGCAUUGCAAGUCUCUGCAAGAACUGAUCGACUUAUCUCAGAAGUAUUACUCUGAAGUUGCUCUUCCAAAACUGGUAGCUGAUUUUGGUUCGUUGGAACUUUCACCAGUUGAUGGUCGAACCUUGACUGAUUUCAUGCAUACUAGAGGUCUUCAGAUGCGUUCUUUGGGGCAAGUUGUCAAGCUGUCAGAGAAGCUAUCGCAUGUGCAGUCCCUUUGUAUUCAUGAGAUGAUAGUCCGAGCUUUUAAGCAUAUACUUCAGGCAGUGAUCGCUGCUGUUAAUAACACUGAGAAAUUGGCUGUCUCGAUUGCUGCUGCAUUGAAUCUUAUGUUGGGGGCUCCAGAGAGUGAAGAAUUCAACAAGUCUUGCAACGUACAUUCCCUUGUGUGGAGAUGGCUGGAUGUAUUCUUGCGGAAGAGAUAUGGAUGGGAUGUUAGCAGCUUCAACUACAAUGACGUGAGGCGAUUUGCGAUUCUACGUGGACUGUGUCAUAAGGUGGGAAUUGAGAUUGUUCCACGUGAUUUCGAUAUGGAGUCUCCAAAUCCAUUUCGAAGUUCUGAUAUUGUCAGCUUAGUUCCAGUACAUAAGCAAGCUGCAUGCUCUUCAGCAGAUGGUAGGCAACUACUGGAGUCAUCAAAAACAGCCUUAGAUAAAGGAAAACUAGAAGAUGCGGUUGCAUAUGGCACUAAGGCUCUUGCAAAGCUGGUAGCAGUUUGUGGUCCAUACCAUCGAAUGACAGCAGGAGCUUACAGCCUCCUUGCUGUAGUUUUGUAUCACACUGGAGAUUUUAAUCAGGCUACAAUUUAUCAGCAAAAAGCUCUGGAUAUCAAUGAGAGAGAAUUAGGGCUUGACCAUCCAGACACCAUGAAGAGUUAUGGUGACCUUGCUGUGUUUUAUUACAGACUUCAACAUACAGAGUUGGCUCUCAAAUAUGUAAAACGUGCUCUAUAUCUCUUGCAUCUCACAUGUGGACCAUCUCAUCCAAAUACCGCCGCAACAUACAUCAAUGUGGCUAUGAUGGAAGAAGGCUUGGGGAAUGUACAUGUUGCCCUCAGAUAUUUACACAAGGCUUUGAAGUGUAAUCAGAAGUUACUUGGCCCAGACCAUAUUCAGACAGCGGCUAGUUACCACGCUAUUGCAAUUGCACUGUCAUUGAUGGAAGCAUACCCUUUAAGUGUUCAGCAUGAGCAGACAACAUUGCAAAUUCUGAGAGCAAAGCUUGGACCAGAUGAUCUCCGUACACAAGAUGCUGCUGCCUGGCUUGAGUAUUUUGAAUCCAAGGCUUUUGAACAGCAGGAAGCUGCAAGAAAUGGGACUCGAAAACCAGACGCAUCUAUAGCCAGCAAAGGCCACUUAAGUGUAUCAGAUUUGCUUGACUACAUCAACCCCACUCAUGAUGCUAAAGGGAGAGAUGUGGCAAUGAAGAGGAAAACCUACAUAACAAAGGAAAAAUCCUAUCAAACUAUCUCCUCAGCAAGUUCUGAAGACCCUUCAAAAGAAACCACAAAAGAUGUUUCAGACGAAGAAACACAUACACUUGAACCAAUAGAAAGAACAGAUCCCAUCCAAGAAAACAUCUCUGCUUCAGUUGAACCCCAGCAUGUUGUGGAAGAGAUUCCUGAGGAAAGUUCAAAUAUGAGCUCAUCCAAAAUACAUGUUGAAGGGGAAGAUGACUGGCAACCAGUUCAAAGGCCUAGAUCAGUGGGUUCAUAUGGGCAGCGUGUAAAACAGCGGCGGGCAGCUAUUGGGAAGGUCUAUAGUUACCAGAAGAAAUAUGUAGAUACUGACACGGAUUACCCUUCAGUGAAGAAUACUAACCAAAACAGUAGGUAUUACCUUCUCAAGAAAAGGCCAACAUCUCAUGCAAGUUAUACAGAAAAUCAGAUUGCAAAUCCCUCCCAAGGUACUAAAUUUGGACGGAGAAUUGUAAAAGCCGUAGCAUACAGAGUCAAGUCUGUGCCUUCGUCUACUAAGGUCACUGCAGCAGAAAGUUUGAGUUCCAAAUCAGAAAGUCCAAUUGUUUCACCGCAUGGUGGUGCAGUAAAAAGUUCUAUAGUCAGUCUUGGAAAAUCUCCUUCAUACAAGGAAGUAGCAUUGGCUCCACCAGGUAGUAUUGCUAAAAUGCAAACUGUUUUCCCACAGAAUGACAUUCCAGAUAACCAUGAGCAUGGUAUCCAAACACAAGAAGAGGAAAUAAUUGAAAUCAAAGGAGAUUCCCAAAGCAAUCUGGUUGUCAAAACUACACUCGAAGAAAAGAAGGAUCCUGUAUUUGAUGCCUUACGAGAGCAAACUGGACCUGCUGAGAAGAAAGAAGAUAUUAGUUCACCUGAAGGGAGGGAAGAUAACACUUCAUUGAUAUUCGGGACCGUGGAUGAACUUGGGUCCAGUUCUGUUAAGUUUCAAGAAGCAGCCGUGGAUAAAGAAUUAGUAGAUGGACUGCCAAAAUCCAUUGAUUCUGUGAAGGAGGGACUCUCUGAGAACAAUCCAUCUGACAAUUCUGAAUUGCAUGAUUCCAACUCCACUUUGCAAGGAGUAGAUGAUUUGGAGGCAUCCUCGCUCGCAACUUCAGUUGAUACUCGAGGAUUGCCAAAUAAAAAAUUAUCUGCUUCGGCAGCUCCAUUCAAUCCCUCACCAUCCAUUCGUGCUGCUCCGGUUCCCAUGAACAUUGCUAUACCCUCUGGUCCGGGAUCUAUCCCAACUAUUGCACCUUGGCCAGUAAACCUGAAUAUUCACCCAGGAGCUGCUGCUGUCUUGCCCACGGGUAAUCCCAUGUGCUCCUCUCCUCAUCAUGCAUACCCUUCUCCCCCUACUACCCCAAACAUCAUACAGCCAUUGCCAUUUAUGUUCCCUCCUUACAGUCAACCCCAAGUUGUACGAACCAGUACCUAUCCUGUGACUAGUGCGUUUCAUCCGAACCAUUUCGCGUGGCAGUGCAACGUGAACCCUAAUGUGUCCGAGUUUGUACCUACAACAGUUUGGCAUGGUUGCCACCCAAUGGAAUUCUCUGCCCCAGCACCUGUUGUUGAGCCUAUUUCUGAUCCCCCUCCUCUGGAGUCAAGAAUUCAGAAUGAUGAUUCUGCUCCAGUUCUGCCAGUGGACAUCGAUAAUGUGGGGGAAAGUAAGAAUGAAGCAGGUAUUCUAACAUCAGAGGCAACAUGUAAUUCAAUUGAAAGUGUCAAGGAAGUUGGUCCAGAUCUUUGUGGGGAUGAAAAUGCUCAAACAGAACCAUGUGACAGCCCCAAUGGAAAAGUUGGAAAUAGUGCUGAAAGGACUAGUGAUGGAGAGAAAACCUUCACCAUUUUGAUAAGGGGCAGAAGAAACCGCAAGCAGACUCUGAGAAUGCCAGUAAGUUUGCUGAGUCGACCAUAUGGCUCACAGUCCUUCAAAGUGAUAUAUAACAGGGUGGUCAGGGGGAAUGAUGCUUCGAAACCCAUCAGCUUUCCAUCGAGUGAAAACUGCACAGCUACUGCUACAUAAAACCCUUACUUGUUUUUGUUAACUAUCCCGUGUGGCAGGACUUUAGAGAAAAAAGUGGGACCCGAAUCUUCUUUUCGAUUAUAUGCAGGAGGGACAGGAUUUACUUGAUCCCUUGGCUCUUACAUUCACAACCUUGUGAUAUUCUACUUAUACAUGGUUGGCGUAAAAGAGUUCAGGUUACAGUAGGAAGAUUACUUUUGUUGGAAGUUCAGUGGGAAGAGCUUAUGGGGUGAAAAUUUUGGUUCAUCACAUAGUAAGAAAUUUUGUUAUUCUGGAUGUUGGAACCACAGCGCAUUCAAAACUGAUAUUUAUUUUGGUUACAAUAAAUGGGAUUUUGAUUUUUAAUUUGGAUCAAUUGUACAUGACUUUAUUCUUUGUUAACAUUCCUUAUCUCAUUUUAGACGAGUAUUAGCACAGUGUCAGUGAGUCAUUGUUGUGUUGCACUUGCAAUGAUGUUUCGAUUCUUGUAAAACUUUUGCCUGUUUAAGUUCAGAUUAAGCCUUUGCUUGUUCCUAACAAAUGAAAUCUUAUGUUCUUCGAAAUUCUGG
Molecule: RNA transcript, 6626 nt
Organism: Fragaria vesca subsp. vesca
Lineage: Eukaryota; Viridiplantae; Streptophyta; Magnoliopsida; Rosales; Rosaceae
Exons: 25
Source: RefSeq, a predicted model, not a curated record